CCUCUGGCUGACAUGGCUGCUUCCCGCUUACCCCCAGCGACGCUAACGUUAAAGCAGUUCAUAAGAAGGCAACAAGUUCUUCUCCUCUACAGAAGGAUUUUGCAAACAAUUCGGCAAGUUCCAAAUGAUUCUGAUCGCAAAUACCUGAAGGAUUGGGCAAGGGAAGAAUUCAAAAGAAACAAAAGUGCCACCGAAGAGGCUUCGCCCACGACUGAAGCGCAAGACCUGAAGGAGGCAAACGGCAUUGUUACAACCACUGGUGUGCGCAGCAUCCGUGUGAGAGAAUUCUCCUUGGACCGGGGCUCUGACCUAACAGAAUUUACAGCCUAGAGGGUGAGAGCAGGUGCGCACAUCAAGCAAGCACCUCUGACCACCUACCAACUUCCUAGGUCUUGUCCUGGGCACUACAGGGACGCGGAGACAGGGCACACCCCUCGUGGAUGAGUGCCGCGAUGAUCUCUGUGUUCCCGACCACUGUGGCCCGGUGCAAGGCGGUCUGGUCCCCCUGCAAAAUGACACAAAGGCAGGAACAGCAGUCAACUCCCCUGCACGCCCUGCUUGCACUACUCACUUGACACUUGGACACAAGGGCCCCUCCCAUCCCCACACAGAGCAGAGUGGUUAUUCGCAGAAGGGCUUGGUUACCGCAGGCAAGGCGGGCUUUGUGGUCUUGUUAGUAGACAACGCAUACUGGCAGAGCAGUCUGGUUCAUAAACUAAGAGGGAGACCUUAAGCCAACAGCAAGAAUAGCCCUCGGCCACAAAGCCAACCUCAGAAUGAGGGUCAGGCUCUCUCCUGCCAUCCAGGGGACAUGACUAUCACAGGUGUGAAGAGUGGGUGUGAGGGCAGGUGUGUGCUAUGCAAUUAAAGCAGCAAUGCUUGCCGAGUUCCCAGUUUGCAGGGGGACCACUGCCAGUUAGCAGCACUCAUGAUUUGAUGACAGGCGAGUCAUUUGUUCAUUGACUUGUACUAGUCAAGAGCAAUGCAGGGGUUUGCCCUAUUUCAUCUGAGGACUCCAGGGCCUGCAGCUAUCACUGCAUGUUUCUAAGAAGCCUCUUCAGAGAUUUCAUGACAACAUCCUCACUGAUUUAUGCUGCACUCUGAGCCCUUUUCUCUGUGAUCAGAUUCCUGGGAUUGCCGGCCGUUGUUCUCCUUUAGGCACCAAAGGGAACUUGACUCUUCCUAAUUGCAGUUGAGUGAAGGAUGAAACACUCUCAGAGGUAAGUAGGUCAAGACUGUAACAGGAGAGCUCUGAAGUCUCUAAGAGCACCCUUUAUCUCUGACAGGUCCUCAGGAAGCUAAGUUGAGGUAAACCAAGCUAAGCCUGUGGUCCAGCCUUGAAAGGGAGGAUGGGUGGGCAGUGAGGAAAUGCUCUGGUGGAAAGCAAUGAGCACGACACAAGGGGUCAGUAGGCCUGGGCUGUGCACAGCUUGCUAGAAGCCUGUCACCCUGCUGGACCUCAGGUGUGUCACCCUGGAUGAUCCCCAGGGUCCCUCCAUUCCCUUCUUGGAUACUAUGAUUUGGCUGGUCAGAGUUUUGUGAAGUUUCCUGGCAGAGCACCAGAGGGGCAAAGGAAACAUUCUGGGGCGUCCCUGGUGCUUGGCCCAACAGAGGACAGAGGUCAUCAUAAGAUAAAACAGAUUUUUAAAAAGAAGGAUGCACUGCUACCUAUUAACAACCUUAACGAAAUACUGAUUUUACUUAUUAAACUCCCCGGAUCUAUAACAAACGACAAUGCACACUAAAAACAUGUAAUCUGUAACAAAGUUCUAAAGAUAGACGGUGGUGAUGGCUGCACAACAAUGUGAGUGUAAUUAAUGCCACUGAACCGUAUACGUAAAUAUGUUCAGAUGGUAAAUUUAAUGCUAUGUAUAUUUUAUCGCAAUAAAAAAAUCCUAGUUAAAACUCAAAA
Mandrillus leucophaeus (drill) is the source of this 1912-nucleotide RNA transcript. It is a transcript of the gene named LYR motif containing 2, with no coding region annotated. The transcript has 4 exons. The record is from RefSeq and is a predicted model, not a curated record. Lineage: Eukaryota; Metazoa; Chordata; Mammalia; Primates; Cercopithecidae.